RNAcentral lists this ribosomal RNA (486 nucleotides) under uncultured bacterium. Its description in RNAcentral is "partial 16S ribosomal RNA". It matches the Rfam family "Bacterial small subunit ribosomal RNA", at positions 28 to 507 of the family's 1533-position model. The record is from RNAcentral.
GAUGAACGCUGGCGGCGUGCCUAAUACAUGCAAGUCGAACGCUGGAAAUCUAGCUUGCUAGAUUGAAGGAGUGGCGAACGGGUGAGUAAUACAUAAGCAACCUACCCACGAAGACUGGGAUAAUCUCUGGAAACGGGGACUAAUACCGGAUAGGUAAUCGGAAGGCAUCUUCUGAUUAUUAAAGGUUAAAAACACUGGUGGAUGGGCUUAUGGCGCAUUAGUUAGUUGGUGAGGUAACGGCCCACCAAGACGAUGAUGCGUAGCCGGCCUGAGAGGGUGAAUGGCCACAUUGGGACUGAGACACGGCCCAGACUCCUACGGGAGGCAGCAGUAGGGAAUUUUCGGCAAUGGGGGAAACCCUGACCGAGCAACGCCGCGUGAGUGAUGACGGCCUUCGGGUUGUAAAGCUCUGUUGUAAGGGAAGAACGGUAGAUAGAGAAUAUCUAAAUGACGGUACCUUACCAGAAAGCCACGGCUAACUACGUG